This 429-nucleotide ribosomal RNA is filed under the name Triticum aestivum (bread wheat). RNAcentral's name for it is "partial small subunit ribosomal RNA". Lineage: Eukaryota; Viridiplantae; Streptophyta; Magnoliopsida; Poales; Poaceae. The record is from RNAcentral.
AUGGCCAUCAUCAAGCAGUCGCUCAUUGUCCUAGUGCUGCUCAUAUGCGGAGCAGGCGGCUCCGCCACACCGGCGCCGGCGCCGGAGCCGGCGCUGCUGACGCAGGAUAAUCUGUGUGUCGGCAUAAGCACGUCCAACGAAGAGCUGGCCUGCGUCGCCAACGUCGCACUGGCCUGCUUCGCCGAGAAUGCCGUCACCAACGAGGUUACCUUCACGCCAUGCUUCGUCCUCGCCGCCGGCAGGCAAUGCUUGGCCAAGGAUAAGGAGGAGCCCAACAAGGAGCACUGCAUCGGCCUAGAGAUCAGCAAGCAACUGCUGCCAUGCCUUGGAGAUAGCGCCUGGACCUGCUACAACGACAUCACGGGGUACAUCCCUCCCGUCUUCAUCGCGUGCUUCCAAGGCAGAGCCCUCAUGUGCACCCGACAGUGA